UGGCGCCUCAGCGCUCUCUGGCGCCUCAGCGCUCUCUGGCGCGCGCCGCCUUCCUCGCUGAACGCCAACAGUGGUCUUCCUCAGAUGCUCGAUUUGACUGGUAUGAGGUACAAAACAGUCAGGAAAGUGAAAUCAUGAGACUAUUACUGAUGUAAAUGGCAGAUCCACCUCAAGAAGGAGAUAUUUAAGAAGCUGUCAGAGACAGAUAUGCCACUUCUGGAUCUACUGAAGUCUGAGUCACGCCUGAGAAACACAGAUGCAGGAGAAAUCUUCUAACAUAUUCAGAAUUGAUGUCUAAUCCCCCAUAAAAUACAUAGUUUCCAACAUAAAAAUCAGUGAUGCAAACCCACUUCACACGCAGCACCCACCUGCACUGCACCGCACGACGCUGUGACAACACAAACACAAAGCUGAUGCUGAUUGCUCAACAGUGAGGGAUACCUGCCCAGGAGCUGCCAGCACCGUGGAGCUGGCAGAGUCUCACUCUGUCACCCAGGCUGGAGUACAUGGAAUACAGUGGUGCGAUCUCAGCUCACUGCAACAUCCGCCUUCCAGAUUCAAGUGAUUCUCCCAAGUAGCUGGAACUACAGGCACCUGCCACCACGCCCGGCUAGUUUAGUAGAGACAAAUUUUCGCCAUGUUGGCCGGGCUGGUCUCAAACUCCUGACCUCAAGUGAUCUGCCCGCCUCGCCCUCCCAAAUUGCUGAGAUUACAGGUGUGAGCCACUGGACCUGGCCCCAAAAUGAAAAUCUUCAUAGUAAACAUAAAACAAAUAAGCUACCCAUUAACUAAUAUAAGUAAUCAUAUUUUAAAGGAAACUAAUAAAAUCACAUCAAUAGAGUAUAACACUUGUAUAAACAUUGGGAAUAAUUGUUUUAAUAUCAAAGGGAAUUCUUUAGUGUUUAAGAUAAUUUCUCUAUAAAGGCAUUAAUGUUCAAAUGUCUUCUAAGAAUAUUAGAAAUUUUGUAAAAAGUGCUUUGUAAAGUUUAUUCGAACACUGCAUUUUUUUUUUUAUCCUGAGUUUGUUCUUUGUUGAAUGUAUCUUAAAGUUUCUUGGUACUAGUGUAUUUAAGCUUUAAUACAUACAUGUAUAGGUAUAUAUUUUAAGUGCUUUAUAAUCUAAAGUUCUUUCAGGCACCUGCCAGUGUUCAUUUUUUAAAUGGAAAUUUUUGCCUCGUUAAAAAUCAAUAUUUCAAACAUUCCAGUUUUUUGGGUGGUGACUGGGUGUGGGGCUCCUUUGAGGGACUGUGAGGGUCUGGACUGUAGCGGAAGUUAUGGGUAGUGAAAGGGCUGCAAGAACAAAUUUGCUGUCCCAAAUUUUGUGAUUCAUUUUGAGUUAAUGUUUUUGGGAAGGGUAUAACGUCUGUCUCUAGAUUCACAUUUUUUGCAUGUGGAUAUCUUGUUUUUUCAGCACUGUUUUUUUUUUUUUUUAAUGAACUAUCCCCUUUCCAUUGCACUACUUUUGUUCCUUUGUCAAAAACCACUUGAGUAUAUAUGGGUCUCUUUCUGGGCUCUCUAAUCUGUUCUACUGACUGAUGUGGUCGUUCUUUCUCCAGUACCACACUGUCUUGAUUAUUGCAGCUUUAUACUAAUUCUUGAAGUCAGUUAGCAUUGUUAGUACUGCUGUAAGUAUGUGUCAAUCUUGGGUGAAUACUGUCCCAAUCCUGCUACAACUCCUCUGUCUCUCUCUGCCUGUGUAAAUGAAAUCUUAACUUUUCUCUUUCAGAACAUGACUCCAUUCCUCUGGG
This 1748-nucleotide long non-coding RNA is filed under the name Pongo abelii (Sumatran orangutan). RNAcentral describes it as "lincRNA". The record is from RNAcentral. Lineage: Eukaryota; Metazoa; Chordata; Mammalia; Primates; Hominidae.